This 253-nucleotide ribosomal RNA is filed under the name uncultured bacterium. RNAcentral's name for it is "partial 16S ribosomal RNA". It matches the Rfam family "Bacterial small subunit ribosomal RNA", at positions 524 to 776 of the family's 1533-position model. The record is from RNAcentral.
UACGGAGGGGGCUAGCGUUGUUCGGAAUUACUGGGCGUAAAGCGCACGUAGGCGGCUUUGUAAGUUAGAGGUGAAAGCCCAGGGCUUAACCCUGGAAUUGCCUUUAAGACUGCAUCGCUAGAAUCGUGGAGAGGUGAGUGGAAUUCCGAGUGUAGAGGUGAAAUUCGUAGAUAUUCGGAAGAACACCAACGGCGAAAGCACUCUGCUGGGCCGACACUGACACUGAGAGACGAAAGCUAGGGGAGCGAAUGGG